CAAACCCACUCCCUCACUUUCCAAUAUUCCAUUGUUCCUCUCCACACUCUUCAUUUUCGGAGACCAAAAAGAUCUUUCCGUCUAUACUUACUGUAAAUCACCAUGGACGCUUGUGUGCAAGUUUCAGUAAUUCGUUCAGCAAUCUAAAGAUCACCUGUUCAAAACAUUGCAACCUGAUCUGUUGGAAUGUGGAUUCUGUCGACUUCUGUCAAGCAACUCUGCAACAACAAGCAUGACCCGGUGCUCCUUCUCUGGCAUCCGCACUCAUUUUCCUGAAGAAUUCUUACAUCAUAUGGCUCGAGAAAUUGGCAUGUUCUCGAAGUGACUGAAACUUUGUGGUUGCUUCAGUUGUGAGUGAAAAUGCAAACCACGUUUCUCGGCCCUCCUGUACCAAUUUUAUAUGGAUCUAUCUAAAUACCAAAAAAUUUCUUUCCAGGAAUUUUCUUUGGCUUAUUAAGUGCCUGGUGCACUAGUUGUAGCAAAGAAGAACAAGGUAUACAUUCUACAGCACAAUACAACUAUUGAACGAUUUAGCUUUUAGGAAAGAAAGUCUAAUGGUCGAAACGGUUUAAGUUCUUUUUAUUUUGCAAAAACCACUUCAAGUAGUUUUAGCAAGAAGGGGAGUCCCACCAAAAGCAGUAGCAAGAACAAAUCUGAUAAGGAAAGAGCUGAAACUUCGUUAUGAUAAGCCCAGUUGAGGAGGUAAAGACUCUUCAAGAGAGCCCCUUCAGCUGAAGAGGUAAAGACUCUUCAAGAGAGCCCCUUGAGCUGAGGAGGUAAAGACUCUUCAAGAGAGCCCUUUGAGCAGAAGAAAAGCAAACAAGAUUGGAAAGACACACGUCUACCCUCAAUGCACCAAGCAAGCAAUGAUAUGAUGCCUUUUCCUUGCCUAAAUGUCUAAAUAAAAGGGAGGAAGGAAGGGGCUUAACUUGGAGGAAGAGAAUGAUGAUAGCCAAUGGUAGAAGAAGAGGUUGAGGCCAAGAUCUAAGGAUUUGGGCCUGUAAAAUCAUGUCCAGAUGAAAAUAUCAUGUGUUAGCAGUCAGAUAGAUGACGGUUUGAGUCUUUUUACUGGUGUCUACAGGUGUUGCUAGCUUUUAGCACUCCCUUGUGUUAAAUAUACAGUGGCCAAGGAGUUGAGAGAUGAUAUUGUAAAUUUCUUUGUUAUAUUAUACUUUCAGUAUGUUGCAAGUGUUAACUCGUAAAUCUCAUUGUAGACUGUAUCCUCAUUCUAUAAAUUGUAUAAAUUUCAGUGUUUCUAAGCUGAAGACAUGAAAUUCUUAUGUGCUCA
This is a long non-coding RNA of Nicotiana tabacum (common tobacco), 1288 nucleotides long. RefSeq lists it as uncharacterized. The record is from RefSeq and is a predicted model, not a curated record. NCBI's taxonomy places the organism in Eukaryota, Viridiplantae, Streptophyta, Magnoliopsida, Solanales, Solanaceae.